AACGGGUGAGUAACACGUGGGUAACCUGCCCAUCAGAAGGGGAUAACACUUGGAAACAGGUGCUAAUACCGUAUAACAAUCGAAACCGCAUGGUUUCGUUUUGAAAGGCGCUUUACGGUGCCGCUGAUGGAUGGACCCGCGGUGCAUUAGCUAGUUGGUGAGGUAACGGCUCACCAAGGCCACGAUGCAUAGCCGACCUGAGAGGGUGAUCG
RNAcentral lists this ribosomal RNA (212 nucleotides) under Enterococcus mundtii. RNAcentral describes it as "partial 16S ribosomal RNA". It matches the Rfam family "Bacterial small subunit ribosomal RNA", at positions 101 to 306 of the family's 1533-position model. Lineage: Bacteria; Bacillati; Bacillota; Bacilli; Lactobacillales; Enterococcaceae. The record is from RNAcentral.